GAUGAAGAACGUAGCGAAAUGCGAUAAGUAGUGUGAAUUGCAGAAUUCAGUGAAUCAUCGAAUCUUUGAACGCACAUUGCGGCCAUAGGUAUUCCUUUGGCCAUGCCUGUUCGAGCGUCAUUUACACCCUCAAGCCUAGCUUGGUGUUGGGCGCCUGUCCCGCCGUUUUCGCGCGCGGACUCGCCUCAAAGUCAUUGGCGGCGGUCGUGCCGGCCCCCUCGCGCAGCACAUUUGCGCUUCUCGGAGGCCCGGCGGAUCCGCGCUCCAGCAAGACCUUUCACGACUUGACCUCGGAUCAGGUAGGGAUACCCGCUGAACUUAAGCAUAUCAAUAAGCGGAAGA
RNAcentral lists this unclassified non-coding RNA (342 nucleotides) under soil metagenome. RNAcentral describes it as "partial contains 5.8S ribosomal RNA, internal transcribed spacer 2, and large subunit ribosomal RNA". The stretch from base 1 to 120 matches the Rfam family "5.8S ribosomal RNA", at positions 35 to 154 of the family's 154-position model. The record is from RNAcentral.